AGAGUUUGAUCAUGGCUCAGAUUGAACGCUGGCGGCGUGCCUAACACAUGCAAGUCGAGCGGUAACAGGUGUAGCAAUACGUGCUGACGAGCGGCGGACGGGUGAGUAACGCUUGGGAAUCUGCCUGUUAGUGGGGGACAACCCGGGGAAACUCGGGCUAAUACCGCAUACGAUCUACGGAUGAAAGCCGGGGACCGCAAGGCCUGGCGCUAACAGAUGAGCCCAAGUCGGAUUAGCUAGUUGGUAGGGUAAUGGCCUACCAAGGCGACGAUCCGUAACUGGUCUGAGAGGACGACCAGUCACACCGGAACUGAGACACGGUCCGGACUCCUACGGGAGGCAGCAGUGGGGAAUAUUGGACAAUGGGGGCAACCCUGAUCCAGCGACGCCGCGUGGGUGAAGAAGGCCUGCGGGUUGUAAAGCCCUUUCGGUUGGGAAGAAAAGUUGCGACCUAACACGUUGUGACCUUGACGUAACCAACUAAAGAAGCACCGGCUAACUCUGUGCCAGCCGCCGCGGUAAUUC
RNAcentral lists this ribosomal RNA (525 nucleotides) under uncultured bacterium. RNAcentral's name for it is "bacterial SSU rRNA". It matches the Rfam family "Bacterial small subunit ribosomal RNA", at positions 8 to 526 of the family's 1533-position model. The record is from RNAcentral.